Molecule: transfer RNA, 75 nt
Filed under: Paenibacillus solanacearum
Lineage: Bacteria; Bacillati; Bacillota; Bacilli; Caryophanales; Paenibacillaceae
Description: tRNA-Thr
Rfam family: tRNA
About the family: Transfer RNA (tRNA) molecules are approximately 80 nucleotides in length.
Source: RNAcentral
UGCCGUCGUAGCUCAGCGGUAGAGCAACGCACUCGUAAUGCGUAGGUCGGAGGUUCGAUUCCUCUCGACGGCAUC